CUUCUGGCUCUAAAUACUAUGAGAUCACAGAAUCAUAGGAUCAUAGAUCUAGAGCUGGAAGGGA
This is a microRNA precursor of Monodelphis domestica (gray short-tailed opossum), 64 nucleotides long. The record is from Ensembl. Lineage: Eukaryota; Metazoa; Chordata; Mammalia; Didelphimorphia; Didelphidae.